UCACCAUAACCACCACUGAGCUCUCUCUCCAUACCCAACUACCAAUCCCAUUGCAAUCAACACCAAGCCUAAAUGCCUUCAUAUCUUCAUGAAAUUACCCUUUACAUUCUCAGGAAACCCACUUCAUCUCUUUAGAUUUACUAGGCCUGAUCUGGAAAUACAUAGUGGAGAAUGAACAACUCUUUCAUUCUUACGAAACUCUGCUCGUCAGCUAACUUCGGCGGCUAAAUUCUCCAUCUUCUGUUGCUCAGAUAGUUACGACUUCUUCAUAAAAGUUGUUCAAAAUCGAGUCUUCUAAACUGUAUUCAAAUUUCAUGAAAAUCCAACGGUUGAAUCUUCCAAAAUCAAGUCCCUCUUCGAAAUGGGUCGAGUUCUUCUCUUGAGAUUGAAUUCAAUUCAUGAAGUACUCAUUUCAAUCUUGAGCACGUUGAAGCCAUCAAGGAGAGAGAGGCAAAAGG
Molecule: long non-coding RNA, 458 nt
Filed under: Rosa chinensis
Lineage: Eukaryota; Viridiplantae; Streptophyta; Magnoliopsida; Rosales; Rosaceae
Description: sRNA RchiOBHm_Chr7g0209561
Source: RNAcentral